GUGCUCACUUUGGUGGCACAUACUCUAAAACUGGAAUGAUACACAGAAGAGUAACAUGGCCCCUGUGCAAGGAUGACAUGCAAAUUCAUAAAGCCUUCCAUAUUUUU
Cavia porcellus (domestic guinea pig) is the source of this 107-nucleotide small nuclear RNA. The record is from Ensembl. Lineage: Eukaryota; Metazoa; Chordata; Mammalia; Rodentia; Caviidae.